GGUUUCGUGGCCCAAUGGCAAGGCGCUUGACUACGAAUCAAGAGAUUGUGGGUUCGAUCCCCACCGAAACCU
Molecule: transfer RNA, 72 nt
Filed under: Exophiala sideris
Lineage: Eukaryota; Fungi; Ascomycota; Eurotiomycetes; Chaetothyriales; Herpotrichiellaceae
Description: tRNA-Arg (ACG) (tRNA-Arg-ACG-1-1)
Rfam family: tRNA
About the family: Transfer RNA (tRNA) molecules are approximately 80 nucleotides in length. Their secondary structure includes four short double-helical elements and three loops (D, anti-codon, and T loops).
Source: Rfam by way of RNAcentral